RNAcentral lists this ribosomal RNA (385 nucleotides) under uncultured bacterium. RNAcentral describes it as "bacterial SSU rRNA". It matches the Rfam family "Bacterial small subunit ribosomal RNA", at positions 30 to 412 of the family's 1533-position model. The record is from RNAcentral.
AUUGAACGCUGGCGGCAUGCUUUACACAUGCAAGUCGAACGGCAGCACGGGGGCAACCCUGGUGGCGAGUGGCGAACGGGUGAGUAAUAUAUCGGAACGUACCCGGAAAUGGGGGAUAACGUAGCGAAAGUUACGCUAAUACCGCAUAUGCCCUAAGGGGGAAAGCGGGGGAUUCGCAAGAACCUCGCGUUUUCGGAGCGGCCGAUAUCGGAUUAGCUAGUAGGUGAGGUAAAGGCUCACCUAGGCGACGAUCCGUAGCUGGUCUGAGAGGACGACCAGCCACACUGGAACUGAGACACGGUCCAGACUCCUACGGGAGGCAGCAGUGGGGAAUUUUGGUACAAUGGCGCAAGCCUGAUCCAGCCACUGCCGCGUGAGUGAAGAA